GGAAAUUGAAGGUUGAUACAUCUAGUAACAGCAAAGUUGCAAAAACGUAGCUCAGGUGGGAAUAGGAUAGCAAAAUCAACACAUUUAUGUACUUUCAUCUUAUGAAGUUGAAGCCCUAGGUAGGUAUCACUUUGUUGUCAAUACAUAUCAUCCAACCACAGAAAUUGUAUGGGCAUACAAUGAUUCUAUACCAAGAAGAUUACAUGGACCAGCACAUGGACUAUAUAGUUUUACAAGUUAAUUUGGUCCAAAGACAGGGCAAUUAAUGUCUCCAAUUCAACAUCUUCAACGUGUUGCUGCCAGCUAAAGCCAUGACUAACAAGAGAAUGGAAAGUUUCCCCAUUUAAAGGUACCAGUAGCCCUUAAAAGCAGGAUAUAUUCUUUAUUUCAGAGAAGAAACUUAAAAGAUCAUGUUAAAAACUGUUGAUCUCUACACAUCUGCCAACACUUCUAUAAUCAGUCAGACAGUCACAAA
This 475-nucleotide unclassified non-coding RNA is filed under the name Hevea brasiliensis (rubber tree). Lineage: Eukaryota; Viridiplantae; Streptophyta; Magnoliopsida; Malpighiales; Euphorbiaceae. The record is from RNAcentral.